GACGAACGCUGGCGGCGUGCCUAAUACAUGCAAGUUGAGCGCUGAAGGUUGGUACUUGUACCAACUGGAUGAGCAGCGAACGGGUGAGUAACGCGUGGGGAAUCUGCCUUUGAGCGGGGGACAACAUUUGGAAACGAAUGCUAAUACCGCAUAAAAACUUUAAACACAAGUUUUAAGUUUGAAAGAUGCAAUUGCAUCACUCAAAGAUGAUCCCGCGUUGUAUUAGCUAGUUGGUGAGGUAAAGGCUCACCAAGGCGAGGAUACAUAGCCGACCUGAGAGGGUGAUCGGCCACAUUGGGACUGAGACACGGCCCAAACUCCUACGGGAGGCAGCAGUAGGGAAUCUUCGGCAAUGGACGAAAGUCUGACCGAGCAACGCCGCGGGAGUGAAGAAGGUUUUCGGAUCGUAAAACUCUGUUGGUAGAGAAGAACGUUGGUGAGAGUGGAAAGCUCAUCAAGUGACGGUAACUACCCAGAAAGGGACGGCUAACUACGUG
This 497-nucleotide ribosomal RNA is filed under the name uncultured bacterium. RNAcentral describes it as "partial 16S ribosomal RNA". It matches the Rfam family "Bacterial small subunit ribosomal RNA", at positions 28 to 507 of the family's 1533-position model. The record is from RNAcentral.